UCAGUCGACUCCUACGGGGAGGCAGCAGUGGGGAAUAUUGCACAAGUCGGGGGAAACCCUGAUGCAGCCAUGCCGCGUGUGUGAAGAAGGCCUUCGGGUUGUAAAGCACUUUCAGUAGGGAGGAAGGUAGUGUAGUUAACACCUGCACUAUUUGACGUUACCUACAGAAGAAGCACCGGCUAACUCCGUGCCAGCAGCCGCGGUAAUACGGAGGGUGCGAGCGUUAAUCGGAAUUACUGGGCGUAAAGCGCAUGCAGGCGGCCUGUUAAGUCAGAUGUGAAAGCCCGGGGCUUAACCUCGGAAUUGCAUUUGAAACUGGCAGGCUAGAGUCUUGUAGAGGGGGGUAGGAAUUUCAGGUGUAGCGGUGAAAUGCGUAGAGAUCUGAAGGAAUACCAGUGGCGAAGGCGGCCCCCUGGACAAAGACUGACGCUCAGAUGCGAAAGCGUGGGGAGCAAACAGGAUUAGAUACCCUGGUAG
Molecule: ribosomal RNA, 477 nt
Filed under: uncultured bacterium
Lineage: Bacteria
Description: bacterial SSU rRNA
Rfam family: Bacterial small subunit ribosomal RNA
Source: RNAcentral